UGUUAUUUCAUUCUUUGGCUUUAUGCUUUCUGCAUAAAGCAAGGGAUUAUCUUUUGCUGCAAUUUUAUUUUCUAGGGAUUUGUGUUGACAACCCCAUCAGUGAUAUCAAAUGGUGAAUGAUGAUUCUUAAUUAACAGCCCCCUGGGUAUUCCAAAGUAACUGUAAGAAUUAUGACUCUCUAUUAAUAAAAUUAUAGAUGCCUAGCCUCACUGCUGAGCAAAUAAAGUGACUUGCCCAUAGCCACAACAAGACAGCAGAAACAGAAUGGCAGCCAGGGUGGCAAGCUGUUUUCAGUGGAUAGUAAUAUACACACUUGCCCAAAAGAGUAAAGCCUCAGCUGAAUGGCAGGAAUCUUGCUGCAGGAUGUUUGCGCCAAGAAAACCAGAGGUUGUUAUGGGAGACAAGACGCAGAUGUUUUAUUCCCAGAACCAAGCCAAGAAGAUCAGCGGCAGAGACUCAAGCAUCUGUCACGCAACUCCCGUCACGUGACUAGCAUUUUCACUUUCCAACUACUGAAGCCUGAAGCACCUGAACUCUAACGUUAGCUAGCUAAUGAUGAUAGGCAACUUGCACUAACUUUGAUCACAUAACUUUUUGGGUGCCAAAGUAGCGCGCACUCCGGCUGUUGGCGCAAAUUAACAACAAAAAAGCAACUUAUCCAGCUCUUACGGAUCAGCCAGAAGGUUUUCGUGUGUCAGAUUUAUUUAUUUUUGAUUUCCGUAUGUCGUUUCCUGCGAUUAUCACGGCUAGCGCGUCGGCGUUGUUCGUUCGCCAGCGAUAUAAGCAGCUCGGAGUGCGUCACACUUCUGAUUCUUUCAGUAAGUUUCUUGCUCUGAUUCUCCUCCUGAAUUUAUUUAAUGCUCCUCAUAAAUUUAUCUUGUUCUGAUGUUCUCUGUAAAUUUACCUUGGUCUGUUGGUACGAGAAGCACCAGAGAGCAUGGUAAAUUUACGAACAGCAUCAGAGAGCGUGGUAAGUUUACGAAAAGCAUCAGAGAGCGUGGUAAAUUUACUGAGAACACCAGCGAGCGUGGUAAAUUUACGGACUCAGAGCGUGGUUAAUUUACGGAGAGCAUCAGAGAGCAUGGUAAAUUUACUGAGAACACCAGCGAGAGUGGUAAAUUUACGGAGAGCACAGAGAGCAUGGUUACUUUACGGAGAGCAUCAGAAAGAAUUGUAAAUUUACUGAGAACACCAGCGAGCGUGAUAAAUUUACGGAGAGCCUCAAAGAGAACGGUAAAUUUACGGAUAGCAUCAGAGAGCGUGGUAAUUUUACGAAGAGCACAGAGAGCAUGGUAACUUUACGGAGAGCAUCAGAUAGCAUGAUAAAUUUACGGGGAACAUCAGAGAGCAUAGUAAAUUUACGGAGAGCAUCGGAGAGAACGGUAAAUUUACGGAUAGCAUCAGAGAGCGUGGUAGUUUUACGAAGAGCACAGAGAGCAUGGUAACUUUACGGAGAGCAUCAGAGAGCAUGGUAAAUUUACGGGGAGCAUCAGAGUGCAUAGUAAAUUCGCAGUGUCUACUUGCACGGCUUGCAGGAGGAAAAAAAACUAGCUGCACGGCUGUCUCCUAAUUUCUCGAUUUUUAGCCUAAAUAACAAGUUUCUGGCUUUGAAACACUUCCACGAUUAUUAAGAUUAGCCAAGAGAUGUUUUUUAGCUUGAAAAGCUGUGCAUUGAGUGACCCGCAAAUGCUCGGCACAGUAUGGACGAAGCGUGGAGUUCGACACCUCGUUUUCGCCAUAACAGCUGUGCAAGGAGAAAAAAAGUAGAUGCAAUUCCCUUUUUUCUUUUUGCCAUUAAGCCAAAACGAAAAGUUUUGACUUUAAAAACCGUUAUUUAGAACCGUCAAACGAUGGCCUCGAGCUUGAACAAAUUCGCAAAAGGCGACAUGCGAGUGCACAUAAUGAACGAUGCAUGAAAUGUCGAACUCCACGCUUCGUUCAUACUUUGCCGAGCAUUUGCGGGCCGCUCAACCAGGUCAAGAGACUGCAAGUAAUCGUCCAUUUCGUCGACAAGUUUCGUCCAGUUAUUCGCAGAUUGUCGAAAUGGACCAUGAUUAAACAGAAUGAGACUAUUUUUGAUCUCGAAAAAGUCCAAAUGGACAAGACCAUAGAAUGUUUAUAUCCGUGCUUUUUUUAAAUAAGCGUAUCUGUAAAAAAAUGACAACUCUGGAUAGGGUAAAUUAAGAAAACUCCCGUAAAAGCGUAGGCGUACUAGCAGAUUAUUUCUCUUAAAUGACCAGAUCUUAUAUCAAGGUACAAUUACCGCUAACCACAAAUUUAGAAAAUGGGCCGAAGAAGGCAAAUGAUGCAUGUUUUUCUAUCAUUUUAUACCGUUACUAAGAAAAUAUCACGUAAGUGCAAAAGUGCAGAUUUUGAUUUUA
This is a long non-coding RNA of Nematostella vectensis (starlet sea anemone), 2381 nucleotides long. RefSeq lists it as uncharacterized. The transcript is spliced from 2 exons. The record is from RefSeq and is a predicted model, not a curated record. NCBI's taxonomy places the organism in Eukaryota, Metazoa, Cnidaria, Anthozoa, Actiniaria, Edwardsiidae.